Long non-coding RNA from Osmerus eperlanus (European smelt), 725 nucleotides. RefSeq lists it as uncharacterized. The transcript has 5 exons. NCBI's taxonomy places the organism in Eukaryota, Metazoa, Chordata, Actinopteri, Osmeriformes, Osmeridae. The record is from RefSeq and is a predicted model, not a curated record.
GGCAGAUCUUCCGGGCGACUCACCCUAUGUAAGAAAUUGGAAAAUGCAACAAUAAAACAAGAAAAACUGAAAAAUGUGACAACUUUAAUCACGCAUGCUCUCAUACAAUCCAACCUAAACACACACAUCCCUUUAGUUGGAAAGUCACCGAAAGACAGCGAAGUGCAGAUCAUUCAUGGAAAGUCAUCAACCUUAUUUAAAAUGCUGGUGGUAUUAACACACAAGAAAGAGAACAAACAAAGGUUUGAGUUGCCCAGAUCAGCCACGAGGAGAGACCAGCGGGGGUAACUGGACAUCAGCCAAACGUGUCUCUCAACUGGACGAUGAAGUAAGUCUCUAUGUGGAGUGACUUGACCCCCAAGAAAGAGAAAACAAGAUUGCAAGGGAUCAGAAUUAGGGGGAUUGCAUUAUGGAGGUCUGCAUCCGGAGAACUAUACUGAGAUAUGAUGAUCAGGACCAAGGGAUGAAAGCAGUGUCAAGAGCAAUGUGUUGACUGGAAAACCUGGUUUAUCUAUAAUAUUUCCACUCCCAGCACACUGUACGCCCUAGAACAUUGUACCAGAAAUACUGAGCCUGUAUUGACAAAAUUACUUUGUAUUAGCUAAUUUUGUAUGUGGUCUAAUGUAAAUAUGCUCGGUGUACAUACAGAGAUAAACCAUAUUGUUAUAAUUAUAUAAGUCAAAUUAAAUUCUGAUGAAUUAAUGUCACAUAUUAUCAAGAUGCUG